RNAcentral lists this ribosomal RNA (864 nucleotides) under Georgenia sp. MK-JP Aa3. RNAcentral describes it as "bacterial SSU rRNA". It matches the Rfam family "Bacterial small subunit ribosomal RNA", at positions 59 to 931 of the family's 1533-position model. Lineage: Bacteria; Bacillati; Actinomycetota; Actinomycetes; Allobogoriellales; Allobogoriellaceae. The record is from RNAcentral.
CAGUCGAACGAUGAAGCCAGCUUGCUGGUGGAUUAGUGGCGAACGGGUGAGUAACACGUGAGUAACCUGCCCCUGACUUCGGGAUAACGCCGGGAAACUGGUGCUAAUACCGGAUACGACACGCUGACGCAUGUUGGUGUGUGGAAAGAUUCAUCGGUUGGGGAUGGGCUCGCGGCCUAUCAGCUUGUUGGUGGGGUGAUGGCCUACCAAGGCGGCGACGGGUAGCCGGCCUGAGAGGGUGACCGGCCACACUGGGACUGAGACACGGCCCAGACUCCUACGGGAGGCAGCAGUGGGGAAUAUUGCACAAUGGGCGCAAGCCUGAUGCAGCGACGCCGCGUGAGGGAUGACGGCCUUCGGGUUGUAAACCUCUUUCAGUAGGGAACAAGGCCCCUUGGGGUUGAGGGUACCUGCAAAAGAAGCGCCAGCUAACUACGUGCCAGCAGCCGCGGUAAUACGUAGGGCGCAUGCGUUGUCCGGAAUUAUUGGGCGUAAAGAGCUCGUAGGCGGUUUGUCGCGUCUGCUGUGAAAACGCGAGGCUUAACCUCGCGCCUGCAGUGGGUACGGGCAGACUAGAGUGCGGUAAGGGAGACUGGAAUUCCUGGUGUAGCGAUGGAAUGCACAUAUAUCAGGAGGAACACCGGUAGCGAAGGCGGGUCUCUGGGCCGUUACUGACACUAAGGAGCGAAAGCAUGGGGAGCGAACAGGAUUAGAUACCCUGGUAGUCCAUGCCGUAUACGUUGGGCACUAUGUGUGGGGCCCAUUCCACGGGUUCCGCGCCGCAACUAACGCAGUAAGUGCCCCGCCUGGGGAGUACGGCCGCAUAACUUAACUCAAAGGAAUUGACGGGGGCCCGCACAAGCG